GUCUCCGUGGCGCAACCGGUUAGCGCGUUCGGCUGUUAAGAUUCUAUAACCGAGAGGCUGACAGUUCGAGCCUGUCCGGGGACG
Pneumocystis jirovecii is the source of this 84-nucleotide transfer RNA. It matches the Rfam family "tRNA". Rfam says of the family: Transfer RNA (tRNA) molecules are approximately 80 nucleotides in length. Their secondary structure includes four short double-helical elements and three loops (D, anti-codon, and T loops). The record is from Rfam. Lineage: Eukaryota; Fungi; Ascomycota; Pneumocystomycetes; Pneumocystales; Pneumocystaceae.